This is a non-coding RNA of Xyrichtys novacula (pearly razorfish), 203 nucleotides long. The record is from the annotation of a GenBank genome assembly. NCBI's taxonomy places the organism in Eukaryota, Metazoa, Chordata, Actinopteri, Labriformes, Labridae.
GCUGCUGGAAGAGAGUAGGUGAGUUGUGUUUAGUCUCUUUGCUAAAGAAAUGAGUCAAAGCUAAAAAGAUGUUUGGUGUCUAGUACUAUGUCUGUGACCCUAUAUGUCCUGUUGAUGAAGUUAGGUGCUGUUCUGAGCAUUAUUUGUGGCUAUAGAGUGGCGUUUUGGUUGAGCGUGUGGCUCUCUGUAUUUCUAUCCUGCGG